This 520-nucleotide ribosomal RNA is filed under the name Aspergillus minutus. RNAcentral describes it as "eukaryotic LSU rRNA". The stretch from base 146 to 299 matches the Rfam family "5.8S ribosomal RNA". Lineage: Eukaryota; Fungi; Ascomycota; Eurotiomycetes; Eurotiales; Aspergillaceae. The record is from RNAcentral.
UCUGCCCCCGGGCAGGCCUAACCUCCCACCCGUGAAUACCUGACCAACGUUGCUUCGGCGGUGCGCCCCCCCGGGGGUAGCCGCCGGAGACCACAUUGAACCUCUUGUCUUUAGUGUUGUCUGAGCUUGAUAGCAAACCUAUUAAAACUUUCAACAAUGGAUCUCUUGGUUCCGGCAUCGAUGAAGAACGCAGCGAACUGCGAUAAGUAAUGUGAAUUGCAGAAUUCAGUGAAUCAUCGAGUCUUUGAACGCACAUUGCGCCCCCUGGCAUUCCGGGGGGCAUGCCUGUCCGAGCGUCAUUGCUGCCCUUCAAGCCCGGCUUGUGUGUUGGGUCGUCGUCCCCCCUGGGGGACGGGCCCGAAAGGCAGCGGCGGCACCGCGUCCGGUCCUCGAGCGUAUGGGGCUUUGUCACCCGCUCGAUUAGGGCCGGCCGGGCGCCAGCCGGCGUCUCCAACCUUCUAUUUUACCAGGUUGACCUCGGAUCAGGUAGGGAUACCCGCUGAACUUAAGCAUAUCAAUA